This is a non-coding RNA of Cherax quadricarinatus, 301 nucleotides long. The record is from RefSeq and is a predicted model, not a curated record. Lineage: Eukaryota; Metazoa; Arthropoda; Malacostraca; Decapoda; Parastacidae.
GUUUGUUGUGGGUGAGUGAGCACUUUACCGACACUCUCUAACACUCUACAUAAUGAUCACCACAGACUGGUGUUGUACUGGAUAAGUGGAAAAUUGGCAAAUGUGAUAUCCUUUUACAAAGUGGGAAAUAGGUCGUUAGCUUCGUUUUAUAGCCCAGUCAGCCGAACCUCUCUUGUGGGAACGUUGGUGGAAUCAGUACUUGUGGAUGCAAUUCACAACCACCUUGAAUGGAGACUGAUGAAGAAAGCAGCACAUGGUGUACGAGGGGAACUUAUCUCCUAGGGUACAGUCCUGCCUGCAG